RNAcentral lists this ribosomal RNA (879 nucleotides) under uncultured bacterium. Its description in RNAcentral is "bacterial SSU rRNA". It matches the Rfam family "Bacterial small subunit ribosomal RNA", at positions 14 to 888 of the family's 1533-position model. The record is from RNAcentral.
UGAUCGUGGCUCAGAUUGAACGCUGGCGGCAGGCCUAACACAUGCAAGUCGAGCGGAUGAGAAGAGCUUGCUCUUCGAUUCAGCGGCGGACGGGUGAGUAAUGCCUAGGAAUCUGCCUGGUAGUGGGGGACAACGUUUCGAAAGGAACGCUAAUACCGCAUACGUCCUACGGGAGAAAGCAGGGGACCUUCGGGCCUUGCGCUAUCAGAUGAGCCUAGGUCGGAUUAGCUAGUUGGUGAGGUAAUGGCUCACCAAGGCGACGAUCCGUAACUGGUCUGAGAGGAUGAUCAGUCACACUGGAACUGAGACACGGUCCAGACUCCUACGGGAGGCAGCAGUGGGGAAUAUUGGACAAUGGGCGAAAGCCUGAUCCAGCCAUGCCGCGUGUGUGAAGAAGGUCUUCGGAUUGUAAAGCACUUUAAGUUGGGAGGAAGGGCAGUAAGAUAAUACCUUGCUGUUUUGACGUUACCGACAGAAUAAGCACCGGCUAACUCUGUGCCAGCAGCCGCGGUAAUACAGAGGGUGCAAGCGUUAAUCGGAAUUACUGGGCGUAAAGCGCGCGUAGGUGGUUUGUUAAGUUGGAUGUGAAAGCCCCGGGCUCAACCUGGGAACUGCAUCCAAAACUGGCAAGCUAGAGUACGGUAGAGGGUGGUGGAAUUUCCUGUGUAGCGGUGAAAUGCGUAGAUAUAGGAAGGAACACCAGUGGCGAAGGCGACCACCUGGACUGAUACUGACACUGAGGUGCGAAAGCGUGGGGAGCAAACAGGAUUAGAUACCCUGGUAGUCCACGCCGUAAACGAUGUCAACUAGCCGUUGGAAUCCUUGAGAUUUUAGUGGCGCAGCUAACGCAUUAAGUUGACCGCCUGGGGAGUACGGCCG